RNAcentral lists this transfer RNA (57 nucleotides) under Mus musculus (house mouse). It matches the Rfam family "tRNA", at positions 8 to 63 of the family's 71-position model. From Rfam's summary of the family: Transfer RNA (tRNA) molecules are approximately 80 nucleotides in length. Their secondary structure includes four short double-helical elements and three loops (D, anti-codon, and T loops). Further hydrogen bonds mediate the characteristic L-shaped molecular structure. tRNAs have two regions of fundamental functional importance: the anti-codon, which is responsible for specific mRNA codon recognition, and the 3' end, to which the tRNAs corresponding amino acid is attached (by aminoacyl-tRNA synthetases). tRNAs cope with the degeneracy of the genetic code in two manners: having more than one tRNA (with a specific anti-codon) for a particular amino acid; and 'wobble' base-pairing, i.e. permitting non-standard base-pairing at the 3rd anti-codon position. RNAcentral also lists the same sequence under 1 other name. Lineage: Eukaryota; Metazoa; Chordata; Mammalia; Rodentia; Muridae. The record is from Rfam by way of RNAcentral.
UGGCUCAAUGGUAGAGCAUUUGCCUAGCAAGCACUAAGUCCUAGGUUCAAUUCCCAG